This 229-nucleotide ribosomal RNA is filed under the name uncultured bacterium. Its description in RNAcentral is "partial 16S ribosomal RNA". It matches the Rfam family "Bacterial small subunit ribosomal RNA", at positions 568 to 796 of the family's 1533-position model. The record is from RNAcentral.
UGCGCAGGCGGGCUUGUAAGUCAGUGGUGAAAUACUGCCGCUUAACGGUAGAACUGCCAUUGAUACUGCGAGUCUUGAAUAUGGUUGAGGUAGGCGGAAUGUGUUGUGUAGCGGUGAAAUGCAUAGAUAUGACACAGAACGCCGAUUGCGAAGGCAGCUUACUAAGCCGUUAUUGACGCUGAGGCACGAAAGCGUGGGGAGCGAACAGGAUUAGAUACCCUGGUAGUCC